RNAcentral lists this ribosomal RNA (491 nucleotides) under uncultured bacterium. RNAcentral's name for it is "partial 16S ribosomal RNA". It matches the Rfam family "Bacterial small subunit ribosomal RNA", at positions 29 to 506 of the family's 1533-position model. The record is from RNAcentral.
AGUGAACGCUGGCGGUAGGCCUAACACAUGCAAGUCGAACGGCAGCACAGUAAGAGCUUGCUCUUACGGGUGGCGAGUGGCGGACGGGUGAGGAAUACAUCGGAAUCUACUUUUUCGUGGGGGAUAACGUAGGGAAACUUACGCUAAUACCGCAUACGACCUACGGGUGAAAGCAGGGGAUCUUCGGACCUUGCGCGAUUGAAUGAGCCGAUGUCGGAUUAGCUAGUUGGCGGGGUAAAGGCCCACCAAGGCGACGAUCCGUAGCUGGUCUGAGAGGAUGAUCAGCCACACUGGAACUGAGACACGGUCCAGACUCCUACGGGAGGCAGCAGUGGGGAAUAUUGGACAAUGGGCGCAAGCCUGAUCCAGCCAUACCGCGUGGGUGAAGAAGGCCUUCGGGUUGUAAAGCCCUUUUGUUGGGAAAGAAAAGCAGCAGGUUAAUACCCCGCUGUUCUGACGGUACCCAAAGAAUAAACACCGGCUAACUGCGU